RNAcentral lists this ribosomal RNA (301 nucleotides) under uncultured bacterium. RNAcentral's name for it is "partial 16S ribosomal RNA". It matches the Rfam family "Bacterial small subunit ribosomal RNA", at positions 509 to 807 of the family's 1533-position model. The record is from RNAcentral.
CAGCAGCCGCGGUAAUGCGAAGGGUGCAAGCGUUAAUCGGAAUUACUGGGCGUAAAGCGUGCGUAGGCGGUUCGUUAAGUCUGUUGUGAAAGCCCCGGGCUCAACCUGGGAAUGGCAAUGGAUACUGGCGAGCUAGAGUGUGUCAGAGGAUGGUGGAAUUCCCGGUGUAGCGGUGAAAUGCGUAGAGAUCGGGAGGAACAUCAGUGGCGAAGGCGGCCAUCUGGGACAACACUGACGCUGAGGCACGAAAGCGUGGGGAGCAAACAGGAUUAGAUACCCCGGUAGUCCCUGUCUCUUAUAC